GGAAACGGGUGCUAAUACCGGAUACGCUCAUAGAUUCAGAAGAAUGGAUGAGGAAAGGGGAAACCCGCAGACAGAUGGGUCCGCGUCCCAUUAGCUAGUUGGAGGUGUAAGAGACCCCCAAGGCGACGAUGGGUAGCCGGCCUGAGAGGGUGAACGGCCACACUGGAACUGAGACACGGUCCAGACUCCUACGGGAGGCAGCAGUGGGGAAUCUUCCGCAAUGGGCGCAAGCCUGACGGAGCAACGCCGCGUGAGUGAAGAAGGCCUUCGGGUUGUAAAACUCUGUCAUCAGGGAAGAAGAAAGUGACGGUACCUGAGGAGGAAGCCCCGGCUAACUACGUGCCAGCAGCCGCGGUAAAACGUAGGGGGCGAGCGUUGUCCGGAAUUACUGGGCGUAAAGGGCGCGUAGGCGGUUAUCCAAGUCAGGGGUGAAAACCUUGGGCUCAACUCAGGGCCUGCCUCUGAAACUGGGUAACUUGAGGGCAGGAGAGGGGAGUGGAAUUCCCAGUGUAGCGGUGAAAUGCGUAGAUAUUGGGAGGAACACCAGUGGCGAAGGCGGCUCUCUGGCCUAACCCUGACGCUGAGGCGCGAAAGCGUGGGGAUCAAACAGGAUUAGAUACCCUGGUAGUCCACGCCGUAAACGAUGGGUGCUAGGUGUAGGAGGUAUCGACCCCUUCUGUGCCGUAGUUAACACAAUAAGCACCCCGCCUGGGGAGUACGGCCGCAAGGUUGAAACUCAAAGGAAUUGACGGGGGCCCGCACAAGCGGUGGAGCAUGUGGUUUAAUUCGACGCAACGCGAAGAACCUUACCAGGGUUUGACAUCCUCUGACAACCUAUGAAAGUAGGUAUUCUAUCUUCGGAUAGACAGGGAGACAGGUGGUGCAUGGUUGUCGUCAGCUCGUGUCGUGAGAUGUUGGGUUAAGUCCCGCAACGAGCGCAACCCUUACGUUUAGUUGCUAACACGUGAAGGUGAGGACUCUAGACGAACUGCCGUUGACAAAACGGAGGAAG
RNAcentral lists this ribosomal RNA (1012 nucleotides) under uncultured bacterium. Its description in RNAcentral is "bacterial SSU rRNA". It matches the Rfam family "Bacterial small subunit ribosomal RNA", at positions 152 to 1172 of the family's 1533-position model. The record is from RNAcentral.